UCCGGCGUUGCUCCGGUGACUUAGGUGAGUCCCUCCACUCCUCAUCGUCACAUUCCUCUGUCUCUUCCUCACAUCAUGUCGUCUCCCUGGCAGAUCUAGCGCACCGUAGCCGCUCGAGCACCGGAACGCCAUGGAUGGGAAGGCUUCUUCCUCCCCUGUCCCGAUGCCAUGAACGACGCAGCUCCACCACCAGACCAUGGAGACGGAGCUCCUUCUCCCGCAUCACUCAUGGAGCCUCCCUCUCAGCGCCCGGAGCCCUAGAGAGUAUGAAUCGCUCCUCCCGCUGUCUCCUUCUACGACUUCUCUUCUUCUCCUCUUGAUGCGUUCUCGUAUUGUAUCGAGGAAAGGAAUUCAAGGCCAUGGCCGGAGAGAGGAGCUGCUCCUAGUACAGGACGCCAUGGAAGGUUCUCCUUUCUUGUUCUGCCUUUUUAAUUUUUCUGUUUCUCUUCCGGAUCUAGACAAGUUGAAGGCUCUGUUUUGUGCAGGUGCUGCUCUGAUGAGGAGAAACUGCUGCUGUAGAACGUCCUCCUCCCAUCCCCUACCCCCACACGUGGUGAGCUCCUAUGCAUAUGUGGAUAAUCAGGAACUAAUGUUUAAUUGAUUACUUCAUAAUCUGUUCCACUGUAUGCAUGAACGCUCACACAUUUUUUCCUGCCAUUUAUGUACAUUACUAUUGGACAGUGAGAAGAUUUCCAUUGUGUGCAUGAACAUGCUUUUUUUUCGUCAAUCCAUCUCUUAUCAUGCAUACAUCCUAUCAUAUAUUAUAUGAUAAAUCUUUUAGUUGCUCACUGUCUAUAUAGGUGCUCAAAUUUUUAGAUUCCAUAGAACUUCUGUUUGUAGUGAAAAGGGGGUAUAUGCAACUUUUAAUCAAUGUCUAUUUAAAUCAAUAGAAUAAAUAUUGAGUAUAUGUGUUCAGUGGUGCACCAUGUCGAAUUACUUUUCCGUUUAGAAAAGUAAUUACUUCUGUAUGUUGUGAUGCAUCCCAUAGUAGUUUGCACCCAGGAACCAACCAAGGGCUGAUGCAAUAUAUGUUACCAUGUAUAUACCGCCCUUGCUGUUUAAAAAAAUAGACAUUGAGGAUACCUUUUUUUCCCUACACCCUGCUGUGGGAUUCUUAAUAGCCUUACCUGCAUAUGAACAAACUGCAAGAGACAGAUACAAUUCCUAACAUGUGAAAGGCUGUUUUAUGACUUAUCCAUCUCGCGACCACCUUCUAUAUCUACAGGAAUCUAUCACUUCUUUCUACUUACAUGGCAGAUAUAUCUACAAGUGAAUCUACAUGUUUUUUGUAGUUCAAAUGGAGUAUCCUAUAUCAUUUUUAUUAUUAUGCAGAACUGUUUGUUCACUCACAUCAGCCCUUUGCUAUAGCUGUUGUGGAGCAAAUUAGAUGGGCGAACCAAUAGAUAAUUAGGUAGAUGUAGUUGGCCGGCAAUGGUUCAUAGGGAUAUUCCUUAUAUUUACUUGAUAUUUGAUCUUAAUAUUCACUGGACACAAUUCUCUCAUGGUUGCAAUAUUUUUUUCCUAAGUUCACUCCAAUUGUGUUGGCAUUCAUGCUUGAUUUCUUUUAAUCAGCUUACUAAUCAUACCGAGAAAAUAAAUAUAACUACUUGAGAAUAAAGGGAAAAGGAGAAUAAAGGAUGGUUGUGGUAGCGGAAUGGUAUUUUUGCUUAGGCGCAAUCAUACUUAUGUAGUAGUAAAUAACCUGUCAUGUCAUUCUUCAAGUCUGCACAUAGCGCUGUUAUUUUAGGAGCAGAUUUCUCAUCCUUCAGAAACCUGAACUUGCUUAAUAGCCAAUUUAGCAGAGUAUUACCAGUUCCUUGAUGUCAUUUCUGGUAUGCAAUCAUAUGACAUGUCUCGUGUAAAUAAAUAUGGGUUGUUGUCAAUUUUUUAAUCUACAAUUGAUCUAUUGUUUUUUACAUGGUAGCUUAAUAUCCUCCUUCCUUUUCUAAUAUGCAAACUUCAAAUAUGUGAGGUGCAUAAGUGCAUGAGGUGCGGUUCACCUUAGGCUGCUCCCGCUCGUCAGCGGUCUGGUCGAGCGUCACUUAACCAUUGUGACCUGGCUGGUUUGGAGUGGGAGGCCGACAUGCUCAUGAACAUCAAGACCGGAUCAAGUACGCUGGUGCACCGCGGUGUGCGGCGGCCUAUUUUCUUGUAGUGGUAUUGUAUAUGGUCUCAUCCAGCACUGAGUAUCCAUAUGUUGUUCUAAUCCUGAUGAUGAUGUUGUAGCAUAAAGUGGACACCAUAUUCAAUUUGUCUUGAUGCUUUAUCUCUUGUGGUUCUUGUCUGAUGCACAUUGUUCUUUGCAGGGUUAUGAUGAUAUUUCCACGGAAAUAUACUGACCCUGAUGCGACAAAGGUGUCCAUUUUCCCUUUUUUAAACUUUUUUACUCUGUUUUUUGUUCUUCCUGUAGUUCCAGUUUCACAUUGCUGGUGUUUCAUGCAAUAUUCAUCGGAUCCUGCUUACAUGCCUUAUUAUUGAGUAACUUGAUUAGUAUUUCUGCCACUGUCCUAUCUCAGUAAACUGUUUGUUUUUUCAGUAGCUAAAAAAGAAAGUAAAUCUAUUAUAUCCUGGUAUUGUAGAAUUUCAGUCUCACAGAAGUUACUCUGUGUCCUGCUUUAGCUUGCAAACCUGAUGUCUGCUGUCUGUUCUCAUUUCUUAACUUUGAAAUGUUUCAAACUUAAGAGUGCCCUGCUACCUCUUGAGCACUGCGUUGGUUUUCCCUUGAAGAGGAAAGGGUGAUGCAGCAAAGUAGUGUAAGUAUUUCCCUCAGUUUUUGAGAACCAAGGUAUCAAUCCGGUAGGAGGCUACGCGCGAGUCCCUCGCACCUACACAAAACAAAUAAAUCCUCGCAACCAACGCGAUAAGGGGUUGUCAAUCCCUACACGGUCACUUACGAGAGUGAGAUCUGAUAGAUAUGAUAGGAUAAUAUUUUUGGUAUUUUUAUGAUAAAGAUGCAAAGUAAAAUAAAAGCAAAGUAAAAAGCAACGGAAAUAACUAAGUGUUGGAAGAUUAAUAUGAUGAAGAUAGACCCGGGGGCCAUAGGUUUCACUAGUGGCUUCUCUCAAGAGCAUAAAUAUUUUACGGUGGGUGAACAAAUUACUGUUGAGCAAUUGACAGAAUUGAGCAUAGUUAUGAGAAUAUCUAGGUAUGAUCAUGUAUAUAGGCAUCACGUCCGAGACAAGUAGACCGACUCCUGCCUGCAUCUACUAAUAUUACUCCACACAUCGACCGCUAUCCCGCAUGCAUCUAGAGUAUUAAGUUCAUAAGAACAGAGUAACACCUUAAGCAAGAUGACAUGAUGUAGAGGGAUAAAUUCAUGCAAUAUGAUAAAAACCCCAUCUUGUUAUCCUCGAUGGCAACAAUACAAUACGUGCCUUGCUGCCCCUACUGUCACUGGGAAAGGACACCGCAAGAUUGAACCCAAAGCUAAGCACUUCUCCCAUUGCAAGAAAGAUCAAUCUAGUAGGCCAAACCAAACUGAUAAUUUGAAGAGACUUGCAAAGAUAACCAAUCAUACAUAAAAGAAUUCAGAAGAUUCAAAUAUUGUUCAUAGAUAAACUUGAUCAUAAACCCACAAUUCAUCGGUCUCAACAAACACACCGCAAAAGAAGAUUACAUCGAAUAGAUCUCCACAAGAGAGGGGGAGAACAUUGUAUUGAGAUCCAAAAAGAGAGAGGAAGCCAUCUAGCUAAUAACUAUNNNNNNNNNNNNNNNNNNNNNNNNNNNNNNNNNNNNNNNNNNNNNNNNNNNNNNNNNNNNNNNNNNNNNNNNNNNNNNNNNNNNNNNNNNNNNNNNNNNNNNNNNNNNNNNNNNNNNNNNNNNNNNCCCCCUACCUCGUGGCUUCCUGCUUUGUUUCUUGACGUAGGGUCCAAGUCUCCUGGAUCAUGUUCGUUCCGAAAAUCACGUUCCCGAAGGUUUCAUUCCGUUUGGACUCCGUUUGAUAUUCUUUUUCUGCGAAACUCUGAAAUUGGCAAAAAAGAACAAUUCUGGGCUGGGCCUCCGGUUAAUAGGUUAGUCCCAAAAAUAAUAUAAAAGUGAAUAAUAAAGCCUAAUAAUGUCCAAAACAGAAGAUAAUAUAGCAUGGAGCAAUCAAAAAUUAUAGAUACGUUGGAGAGUUCUGCUAGAACAUUAAGUUGUUGGAAAUAUGCCCUAGAGGCAAUAAUAAAAUGGUUAUUAUUAUAUUUCCUUGUUCAUGAUAAUUGUCUAUUUUUCAUGCUAUAAUUGUGUUAUCCGGAAAUCGUAAUACAUGUGUGAACACAUAGACCAUAACAUGUCCCUAGUGAGCCUCUAGUUGACUAGCUCGUUGAUCAAUAGAUGGUUACGGUUUCCUGACCAUGGACAUUGGAUGUCAUUGAUAACGGGAUCACAUCAUUAGGAGAAUGAUGUGAUGGACAAGACCCAAUCCUAAGCAUAGCACUAGAUCGUGUAGUUCAUUUGCUAAAGCUUUCGUCAAGUAUCAUUUCCUUAGACCAUGAGAUCGUGCAACUCCGGGAUACCGUAGGAAUGCUUUGGGUGUACCAAACGUCACAACAUAACUGGGUGGCUAUAAAGGUGCACUACAGGUAUCUCCGAAAGUGUCUGUUGGGUUGGCUCGGAUCGAGACUGGGAUUUAUCAGUCCGUAUGACGGAGAGGUAUCUCUGGGCCCACUCGGUAAUGCAUCAUCAUAAUGAGCUCAAUGUGACUAAGUAGUUAGUCACGGGAUCAUGCAUUACGGAACAAGUAAAGUGACUUGCCGGUAACGAGAUUGAACGGGGUAUUGGGAUACCGACGAUCGAAUCUCGGGCAAGUAACGUAUCGAUUGACAAAGGGAAUUGUAUACGGGAUUGCUUGAAUCCUCGACAUCGUGGUUCAUCCGAUGAGAUCAUCGUGGAACAUGUGGGAUCCAACAUGGGUAUCCAGAUCCCGCUGUUGGUUAUUGGCUAGAGAGGUCUCGGUCAUGUCUGCAUGAUUCCCGAACCUGUAGGGUCUACACACUUAAGGUUCAAUGACGCUAGGGUUAUAAGGAAGGUUUGCAUGUGAUUACCGAAUGUUGUUCGAAGUCCCGGAUGAGAUCCCGGAUGUCACGAGGAGUUCCGGAAUGGUCCGGAGGUGAAGAUUUAUAUAUGGGAAGUCAUCAUACGGUCACCGGAAAUAUUCGGGGGUAUACCGGUAUUGUACCGGGACCACCGGAGGGGUUCCGGGGGUCCACCGGGAGGGUCCACCUGCCCCGGAGGGACUUAUGGGCUGUAGGUGGAAGGGAACCAGCCCUAAGUGGGCUGGGCGCCAACCCCCCUAGGCCCCAUGCGCCUAGGGUUUGGGGGGAACCCUAAAAGGGGGCGCCCCCCCUUGCUUGGGGGGCAAGCUCCCUCCCCCUUGGCCGCCACCCCCCUCUAGAUCUCUUCUAGAGGGGCCGGCCCCCUUCCCCUUCUCCCUAUAAAUAGAGGGGUGAGGGGAGGGCUGCAGCACCACAUCCAAGGCACAGCCCCUCCCCUCCCCAACACCUCUCCUCCUCCGCGUGCGCUUGGCGAAGCCCUGCCGGAGAACUGUCACUCCACCACCACCACGCCGUCGUGCUGCUGUUGGAGCCUUCUUCCUCAACCUCUCCCUCCUCCUUGCUAGAUCAAGGCGCGGGAGACGUCACCGGGCUGCAUGUGUGUUGAACGCGGAGGCACCGUUGUUCGGUGCUUGGAUCGGAUUCUGCCGCGAUCUGAAUCGCUACGUGUACGACUCCCUCAUCCGCGUUCUUGCAACGCUUUCGUCUCGCGAUCUUCAACGGUAUGAAGAUGCACUCUCCUCUCUCUCGUUGCUAGUUACUCCAUAGAUUGAUCUUGGUGAUGCGUAGAAAUUUUUUAAUUUCUGCUACGAUCCCCAACAGUGGCAUCAUGAGCUAGGUCUAUGCGUAGUUUCUAUGCACGAGUAGAACACUAGUUGGUGUGGGCAUCGAUUUUGUCAAUUUACUUGCCAUUACUAGUCUUAUCUUGAUUUGGCGGCAUCGUGGGAUGAAGCGGCCCGGACCGACCUUACACGUACGCUUAUGUGAGACAGGUUCCACCGACUAACAUGCACUAGUUGCAUAAGGUGGCUAGCGGGUGUCUGUCUCUCCCACUUUAGUCGGAUCGGAUUCGAUGAAAAGGGUCCUUAUGAAGGGUAAAUAGAAAUUGGCAUGUCACGUUGUGGUUUUGGCGUAGGUAAGAAACGUUCUUGCUAGAAACCUAUAGCAGCCACGUAAAAGUUUGCAACAACAAUUAGAGGACGUCUAACUUGUUUUUGCAGCAAGUGUCAUGUGAUGUGAUAUGGCCGGAAGAAUGUGAUGAAUGAUAUAUGUGAUGUAUGAGAUUGAUCAUGUUCUUGUAAUAGGAAUCACGACUUGCAUGUCGAUGAGUAUGACAACCGACAGGAGCCAUAGGAGUUGUCUUAAUUUAUUUAUGACCUGCGUGUCAAUUGAAACGUCAUGUAAUUACUUUACUUUAUUGCUAACCGUUAGCCAUAGUAGUAGAAGUAAUAGUUGGCGAGACAACUUCAUGAAGACACGAUGAUGGAGAUCAUGGUGUCAUGCCGGUGACGAUGAUGAACAUGGCGCCCCGAAGAUGGAGAUCAAAAGGAGCAAAAUGAUAUUGGCCAUAAUGUCACUAUUUGAUUGCAUGUGAUGUUUAUCAUGUUUUACAUCUUAUUUGCUUAGAACGACGGUAGCAUAAAUAAGAUGAUCCCUCGCUAAAAUUUCAAGAAAGUGUCCCCCCUAACUGUGCAUCGUUGCGAAGGUUCGUUGUUCCGAAGCACCACGUGAUGAUCGGGUGUGAUAGGUUCUAACGUUCGCAUACAACGGGUGUAAGCCAGAUUUACACACGCAAUACACUUAGGUUGACUUGACGAGCCUAGCAUGUACAGACAUGGCCUCGGAACACAAGAGACCGAAAUGUCGAACAUGAGUCAUAUAGCAGAUACGAUCAACAUGAAGAUGUUCACCAAUGAUGACUAGUCCGUCUCACGUGAUGAUCGGACACGGCCUUGUUGACUCGGAUCAUGUAUCACUUAGAUGACUAGAGGGAUGUCUGUCUGAGUGGGAGUUCAUUAAUAAUUUAAUUAGAUGAACUUAAUUAUCAUGAACUUAGUCUAAAAUCUUUACAAUAUGUCUUGUAGAUCAAAUGGCCCACGCUAAUGUCAACCUCAACUUCAACGCGUUCCUAGAGAAAACCAAGCUGAAAGACGAUUGUAGCAACUAUACGGACUGGGUCCGGAACUUGAGGAUCAUCCUCAUAGCUGCCAAGAAAGCAUAUGUCCUUGAAGCACCGCUAGGUGAAGCACCCAUCCCAGCAAACCAAGACGUUAUGAACGCCUGGCAAACACGUGUUGAUGAUUACUCCCUGGUUCAGUGCGGCAUGCUUUACAGCUUAGAACCGGGGCUCCAAAAGCGUUUCGAGCAGCACGGAGCAUAUGAGAUGUUCCAAGAGCUGAAAAUGGUUUUCCAAGCUCAUGCCCGGGUCGAGAGAUAUGAAGUCUCCGACAAGUUCUACAGUUGUAAGAUGGAGGAUAAUAGUUCCGUCAGCGAACACAUACUCAAAAUGUCUGGGUUGCACAAUCGCUUGUCUCAGCUGGGAGUUAAUCUCCCGGAUGAUCCCGUGACUAACUACUUAGUCACAUUGAGCUCAUUAUGAUGAUGCAUUACCGAGUGGGCCCAGAGAUACCUCUCCGUCAUACGGACUGACAAAUCCCAGUCUCGAUCCGAGCCAACCCAACAGACACUUUUGGAGAUACCUGUAGUGCACCUUUAUAGCCACCCAGUUAUGUUGUGACGUUUGGUACACCCAAAGCAUUCCUACGGUAUCCGGGAGUUGCACGAUCUCAUGGUCUAAGGAAAUGAUACUUGACGAAAGCUUUAGCAAAUGAACUACACGAUCUAGUGCUAUGCUUAGGAUUGGGUCUUGUCCAUCACAUCAUUCUCCUAAUGAUGUGAUCCCGUUAUCAAUGACAUCCAAUGUCCAUGGUUAGGAAACCGUAACCAUCUAUUGAUCAACGAGUUAGUCAACUAGAGGCUCACUAGGGACAUGUUAUGGUCUAUGUGUUCACACAUGUAUUACGAUUUCCGGAUAACACAAUUAUAGCAUGAAAAAUAGACAAUUAUCAUGAACAAGGAAAUAUAAUAAUAACCAUUUUAUUAUUGCCUCUAGGGCAUAUUUCCAACAACUUAAUGUUCUAGCAAAACUUAUAUAUUGUGUUGUCUAUCUGUUUUCUUUGCACCGGUUCUAAGGUAAACUACUCACACUUCAUCGGAGAGGCUAUGGUGUUGAUGUAGAAGCCCUCCAUGAUCGAUGCCCCCUCCGGCGGAGCUCCGGAACAGGCCCCAAGAUGGGAUCUCGUGGGUACAGAAGGUUGCGGCGGUGGAAUUAGGUUUUUGGCUCCGUAUCUGAUCGUUUGGCGGUACGUAGGUAUAUAUAGGAGGAAGGAGUACGUCGGUGGAGCAACGUGGGGCUCACGAGGGUGGAGGGCGCGCCGGGGGGGGGUAGGCGCGCCCCCUACCUCGUGGCUUCCUACUUAGUUUCUUGACGUAGGGUCCAAGUCUCUUGGAUCAUGUUCGUUUCGAAAAUCACGUUCCGAAGGUUUCAUUCCGUUUGGACUCCGUUUGAUAUUCUUUUUCUAUGAAACUCUGAAAUAGGCAAAAAAAACAACAAUUCUGGGCUGGGCCUCCGGUUAAUAGGUUAGUCCCAAAAAUAAUAUAAAAGUGAAUAAUAAAGCCCAAUAAUGUCCAAAACAGAAGAUAAUAUAGCAUGGAGCAAUCAAAAAUUAUAGAUACGUUGGAGACGUACCAUGCCCUCAUCCUCUAUUACAUCUGUAUGCACCUUGGUAAGAAAUAUAUUGGUCUUGUAAAUAUCAUUGGGAAGUAUAUCUGCUUCUGUAUGUUCUUGCAAGCAUUAAAUGUUGCUAACAUUCUCACUAAAGAAUGUCCCUCCAGCACAUUCCUUUGAAAUGUGACCUUGAGUCAAGCUCCAAGAAGAUAUUCAACAGAUCUGCAUCUGCUCUGGAUGCUCAUGUACAAGAUACUAAGUUAUUGGUUGUGUUAUUCUGGUUGGUACUAUCUUAUAAACAUGUGGUGUAAUGAUACUGAUGGGACAAAUUUGAUGAAAUGUUGUGUUGUUUGUUCAUUCUGCUGUGUUAUUUUGUGAUCC
RNAcentral lists this long non-coding RNA (9141 nucleotides) under Triticum aestivum (bread wheat). RNAcentral's name for it is "long non-coding RNA (TAES_LNC028544)". Lineage: Eukaryota; Viridiplantae; Streptophyta; Magnoliopsida; Poales; Poaceae. The record is from RNAcentral.